GGGGGUGUACUGGCUUCGAGCAGGGCGGUUAUCGCCUGGGAGAAGCGGGCCGAGAUCUCCGGAGUCUCGUAAAACGCCGGAACAACACAAGCGCCAACGAAGAGUACGCGCUCGCUGCCUAGCCAAUAGGUAGCUGUCCGUCCGGGAGGGCCUGCGGCCCGGACAGGGCAUCGCAAGCAGGCCUCACCGAGGAGGUUCCGUCCGGGGGCCUCCGAGGGACAUCUCACCCGGGCUGGCCGAGGGCCCCUCCGCCGGUGGGAGGCCCGAGGCGAGAUCUCCCCACCGGAUGCGCCCGGAGAAGAUCCAGACGGUCGCCCUGUGACGCGGGUUCGAUUCCCGCCACCUCCACGA
Molecule: transfer-messenger RNA, 351 nt
Filed under: Actinomycetota bacterium
Lineage: Bacteria; Bacillati; Actinomycetota
Rfam family: transfer-messenger RNA
About the family: Bacterial tmRNA, also known as 10Sa RNA or SsrA, is named for its dual tRNA and mRNA-like properties. Its role is to liberate the mRNA from a stalled ribosome.
Source: RNAcentral